CUACGGGGUGCUCCAGUGAGGAAUAUUGCACAAUGGGGGGAACCCUGAUGCAGCAACGCCGCGUGGAGGAUGACGCAUUUCGGUGUGUAAACUCCUUUUAUAUGUCAAGAAAAUGACGGUAGCAUAUGAAUAAGCACCGGCUAACUCCGUGCCAGCAGCCGCGGUAAUACGGAGGGUGCAAGCGUUACUCGGAAUCACUGGGCGUAAAGGACGCGUAGGCGGGCUUGUAAGUCAGGUGUGAAAUCCUACAGCUUAACUGUAGAACUGCACUUGAAACUACGAGCCUAGAGUAUGGGAGGGGGAGAUGGAAUUAGUGGUGUAGGGGUAACAUCCGUAGAUAUCACUAGGAAUACCUAAAGCGAAGGCGAUCUCCUGGAACAUAACUGACGCUAAGGCGUGAAAGCGUGGGGAGCAAACAGGAUUAGAUACCCCUGUAGUC
RNAcentral lists this ribosomal RNA (439 nucleotides) under uncultured bacterium. Its description in RNAcentral is "partial 16S ribosomal RNA". It matches the Rfam family "Bacterial small subunit ribosomal RNA", at positions 339 to 795 of the family's 1533-position model. The record is from RNAcentral.